UGGGAACGUGCCCUUUGGUUCGGAACAACUCCGGGAAACUUGAGCUAAUACCGGAUAAGCCCUUCGGGGGAAAGAUUUAUCGCCAAAGGAUCGGCCCGCGUCUGAUUUAGCUUGUUGGUGAGGUAAUGGCUCACCAAGGCGACGAUCAGUAGCUGGUCUGAGAAGAUGAUCAGCCACACUGGGACUGAGACACGGCCCAGACUCCGUACGGGAGCAG
Molecule: ribosomal RNA, 217 nt
Filed under: uncultured bacterium
Lineage: Bacteria
Description: partial 16S ribosomal RNA
Rfam family: Bacterial small subunit ribosomal RNA
Source: RNAcentral